Aegilops tauschii subsp. strangulata is the source of this 818-nucleotide long non-coding RNA. RefSeq lists it as uncharacterized. Lineage: Eukaryota; Viridiplantae; Streptophyta; Magnoliopsida; Poales; Poaceae. The record is from RefSeq and is a predicted model, not a curated record.
CAUCCGACUUCGCCGCAGAAGUUCGCCCGGGCGGCGACUCUCUCCUAGCCAAGCUCGAGCCCCCGUCGUCCCCUCCUCCUGGACCGCCUCUCCUCUCCUUUGAAGAAGGAGCACGGGGCCCGCUGCUACACCGCCGUCGCCGUCGUCCUGCCUGAUCUGAGGCGCGAGUGGGAGGAGAAGGGGACACACCCUCGUCCUCAGCCUGCCAUCGACGUCGUCCUGCCGGAUCUGAUCUGGUUUUGUUCUCCCUGUAAGAGAGCAAAAGUGCCAUUGUAGAAGUUUUCUUGAAAACAUCUGGCUACUUGGAUUGCGCAAUCAAGUGCUCUAACAUAUACCAUCAGAGUUAAGAUAUGUAGGGCUCUGGCUUACAUUAAUGGCAACAUUGGAGUUUGCCACAAAAUCUUCUGGUAUGCUGAAAAAUUACUCAUGUUCUCUAGGUCUCAAAAUCAAACACAAAUUAGAAAGAGUUAGGAAAUAAGCAGAUAUAUCUCAUAUUUGGAAACAGUGACAACGACUUUAUCCAUCAAUUUGCAAUUUGCUAUCAGCUCGUGCACAGAAUCAUGUUCCCGCUCUGAUGUUUGAAGUUCACUUUUGGCACUGUUGUUGAAGCUAACUCAUUGAUUUACAUGGGUCAUGGAUGGAAGAUUUUUUAUUUGAUGGACGUAGUCAGCAAACAACUGGUUUUCAUGUAAGUUUCUUCAUCAUAUAUUCACUUGAAUAUUGUUACCGAACUGUGUCACGGAGUUUCAUUAGUGGACUUGUCCCAGUCAUGAAUUAUUCAGUAAAUGGGGAUCUAGAGAAAAUGUAUCAUUGGUCAA